GAGUUUGAUCCUGGCUCAGGAUGAACGCUGGCGGCGUGCCUAAUACAUGCAAGUCGAACGAACUUCCGUUAAUUGAUUAUGACGUACUUGUACUGAUUGAGAUUUUAACACGAAGUGAGUGGCGAACGGGUGAGUAACACGUGGGUAACCUGCCCAGAAGUAGGGGAUAACACCUGGAAACAGAUGCUAAUACCGUAUAACAGAGAAAACCGCAUGGUUUUCUUUUAAAAGAUGGCUCUGCUAUCACUUCUGGAUGGACCCGCGGCGUAUUAGCUAGUUGGUGAGGUAAAGGCUCACCAAGGCAGUGAUACGUAGCCGACCUGAGAGGGUAAUCGGCCACAUUGGGACUGAGACACGGCCCAGACUCCUACGGGAGGCAGCAGUAGGGAAUCUUCCACAAUGGACGCAAGUCUGAUGGAGCAACGCCGCGUGAGUGAAGAAGGUUUCGGCUCGUAAAGCUCUGUUGUUAAAGAAGAACGUGGGUAAGAGUAACUGUUUACCCAGUGACGGUAUUUAACCAGAAGCCACGGCUAACUACGUGCCAGCAGCGCGGUAAUACGUAGUGGCAGCGUUAUCCGGAUUUAUUGGGCGUAAGCGAGCGCAGCGUCUUUUAGUCUAUGUGAAAGCUUCGCUCACGAGAUGCAUUGGAAACUGGAGACUUGAUGCAAAGGACGUGAU
This 678-nucleotide ribosomal RNA is filed under the name Pediococcus pentosaceus. RNAcentral's name for it is "bacterial SSU rRNA". It matches the Rfam family "Bacterial small subunit ribosomal RNA", at positions 9 to 661 of the family's 1533-position model. The record is from RNAcentral. Lineage: Bacteria; Bacillati; Bacillota; Bacilli; Lactobacillales; Lactobacillaceae.